UUGGGAAUAUUGGACAAUGGGCGCAAGCCUGAUCCAGCCAUGCCGCGUGAGUGAUGAAGGCCCUAGGGUUGUAAAGCUCUUUCACCGGCGAAGAUAAUGACGGUAACCGGAGAAGAAGCCCCGGCUAACUUCGUGCCAGCAGCCGCGGUAAUACGAAGGGGGCUAGCGUUGUUCGGAAUUACUGGGCGUAAAGCGCACGUAGGCGGAUCGAUCAGUUAGGGGUGAAAUCCCGGGGAUCAACCCCGGAACUGCCUCUAAUACUGUCGAUCUGGAGUUCGAGAGAGGUGAGUGGAAUUCCGAGUGUAGAGGUUAAAUUCGUAGAUAUUCGGAGGAACACCAGUGGCGAAGGCGGCUCACUGGCUCGAUACUGACGCUGAGGUGCGAAAGCGUGGG
RNAcentral lists this ribosomal RNA (393 nucleotides) under uncultured bacterium. RNAcentral describes it as "bacterial SSU rRNA". It matches the Rfam family "Bacterial small subunit ribosomal RNA", at positions 355 to 765 of the family's 1533-position model. The record is from RNAcentral.